CCUAGGGUUGUAAAGCACUUUCAAUUGGGAGGAAAACCUGCCGGUCAAUACCCGGUAGCUUGACAUUACCUUUAGAAGAAGCACCGGCUAACUCCGUGCCAGCAGCCGCGGUAAUACGGAGGGUGCGAGCGUUAAUCGGAAUUACUGGGCGUAAAGCGUGCGUAGGUGGUUCGUUAAGUCAGAUGUGAAAGCCCUGGGCUCAACCUGGGAACUGCAUUUGAAACUGGCGGACUAGAGUUUAGUAGAGGGGAGUGGAAUUUCAGGUGUAGCGGUGAAAUGCGUAGAUAUCUGAAGGAACACCAGUGGCGAAGGCGACUCCCUGGACUAAAGCUGACGCUGAGGUACGAAAGCGUGGGUAGCAAACAGGAUUAGAUACCCUGGUAGUCCACGCCGUAAACGAUGUCGACUAGCCGUUGGUCCUAUAUACAGGAUUAGUGGCGCAGCUAACGCAUUAAGUCGACCGCCUGGGGAGUACGGCCGCAAGGUUAAAACUCAAA
Molecule: ribosomal RNA, 497 nt
Filed under: uncultured bacterium
Lineage: Bacteria
Description: bacterial SSU rRNA
Rfam family: Bacterial small subunit ribosomal RNA
Source: RNAcentral